This 422-nucleotide ribosomal RNA is filed under the name uncultured bacterium. RNAcentral describes it as "bacterial SSU rRNA". It matches the Rfam family "Bacterial small subunit ribosomal RNA", at positions 355 to 774 of the family's 1533-position model. The record is from RNAcentral.
UGAGGAAUAUUGGGCAAUGCCCGCAAGGGUGACCCAGCAACGCCGCGUGGAGGAUGAAUGUCGUAAGAUUGUAAACUCCUGUUAGAGGGGAAGAAUAGUACCGGUUGGACCGGUAUAUGACUGUACCCUCAGAGAAAGCCCCGGCUAACUACGUGCCAGCAGCCGCGGUAAUACGUAGGGGGCAAGCGUUGUCCGGAUUUACUGGGUGUAAAGGGCGCGCAGGCGGGAUAAAAAGCCAGUGGUGAAAUCCUACAGCUUAACUGUAGAACUGCCUUUGAUACUUUUAUUCUUGAGUUCGGGAGAGAGUGACGGAAUUCCAGGUGUAGUGGUGAAAUACGUAGAUAUCUGGAAGAACACCAGUUGCGAAGGCGGUCUCUUGGUCCGACACUGACGCUGAGGCGCGAAAGCGUGGGGAGCAAACA